Molecule: ribosomal RNA, 301 nt
Filed under: uncultured bacterium
Lineage: Bacteria
Description: partial 16S ribosomal RNA
Rfam family: Bacterial small subunit ribosomal RNA
Source: RNAcentral
CAGUCGCCGCGGUAAAACGGAGGGGGCUAGCGUUGUUCGGAAUUACUGGGCGUAAAGCGCACGUAGGCGGCUUGGUAAGUUAGAGGUGAAAGCCCAGGGCUCAACCCUGGAAUUGCCUUUAAGACUGCCGAGCUAGUAGGUGAGAGAGGUGAGUGGAAUUCCGAGUGUAGAGGUGAAAUUCGUAGAUAUUCGGAAAAACACCAGUGGCGAAGGCGGCUCACUGGCUCAUUCUAGACGCUGAGGUGCGAAAGCGUGGGGAGCAAACAGGAUUAGAUACCCCCGUAGUCCCUGUCUCUUAUAC